RNAcentral lists this small nuclear RNA (91 nucleotides) under Zalophus californianus (California sea lion). Its description in RNAcentral is "U2 spliceosomal RNA (ENSZCAG00015003682.1)". It matches the Rfam family "U2 spliceosomal RNA". Rfam says of the family: U2 is a small nuclear RNA (snRNA) component of the spliceosome (involved in pre-mRNA splicing). Complementary binding between U2 snRNA (in an area lying towards the 5' end but 3' to hairpin I) and the branchpoint sequence (BPS) of the intron results the bulging out of an unpaired adenosine, on the BPS, which initiates a nucleophilic attack at the intronic 5' splice site, thus starting the first of two transesterification reactions that mediate splicing. The record is from RNAcentral. RNAcentral also lists the same sequence under 1 other name. Lineage: Eukaryota; Metazoa; Chordata; Mammalia; Carnivora; Otariidae.
AUCGCUUCUCAGCCUUUUGGCUAAGAUCAAGUGUAAUAUCUGUUCUUAUCAGUUUAAUAUGAGGUCAGAUAGAUACACUAUGCCACCUAUA